Molecule: unclassified non-coding RNA, 1373 nt
Filed under: Leishmania donovani
Lineage: Eukaryota; Euglenozoa; Kinetoplastea; Trypanosomatida; Trypanosomatidae
Description: gene:unknown
Source: RNAcentral
ACCUUUGUGUGCAUCCUUCCAUGACAUCUUGACGUGUGAGUCUCUUUGCUCUGCCCCUUUGGCAUUCCACGCACGCGGAUGUGAGCCGUUGUGAAACUUCAUAUAUUUCGGCACCUCUCUGCUUUCCGCCCGGAUGACGGGGGAGGGGAGGAGAGGCACCUCAAUGCAUGGCGCUACAGGGCUCACUACUCUACUCGGCGGCAAAGCCAAGCAGCCCGGACCCCCUCAUUCCUUGCGAAGUGCCGAACCACCUGUGGUGGUGACAGGGUCGCCGGCGCCGGCGCCGUGCUGGAAGUCCGGGCGACGUAUCGCUGCUGAUGUAGUUGGUCGGGUCCUGGCCGGGCGUUGCGUCGGGGCGACCGGCGACAGUGAACACGCGUGUGCCAUCCAUACAAUUCGGCAGCGUGUCACCGCGUCUCGAGAGUAACCCGCCCGGGCCCCUACACCGCCCACUGGUGUGCGGGCGGGGGGAGGGCGGGGGCAGCGGCGCCCGCGCCCAUUCCAAGAAGGGAGGGAGGCACCAGCUGGCGGCCGGCGAGGCGGCGGGUGGGUGGGGUAGAGCUCGAGGGCAGAUGGCCGUGCUCAGAUAGCUGAGUCGGCAGCACUGCUGCACCGCGUGCCUGCCGCUUCUUCGCGCGACGCGGGGGGGGGACUGUGACAGGCCGUGGGUGGAGCGGAGCUUGCCUUGUGUUGGAGUGGCAGAGAAACGAAUGCGUUGAACAACAAAACACACACUGUGAGCCUUGGGGCCUUUUUGCACCUUUCAGAAAAAGUUGAAGAAGAGAGAUGAGUGAAGUAUAGAGUUCCACGGCGCAUAUGCACCGUUCUCUGAUCGUUUCCGCCUCGUUUUCACGUGCUCGUGUCGCCCUCGACGCGCUCGUUCCUUUCUUCUGCAGCUGCCGUCUUUGUGGUUUCUUCGAAAAGCCCCACUGGAGCUGCAAGUGAUAGCCUUGCUGUUAAUGGCUAGAUUGUGGAACGAGUUGAUGCUGCUUUUUCUUUUUGCAGUGAGUCGCUCGGAUGGUUGGGGAGAAGAGUGAUGACGACUCCAGAUGCAGCGGAGACCCAGCUCAAGGGGCCCCGCGUCUCAAUCCUCCCUCUGCUCGCGCCUUCUCUUUUGCCAGUGGCGUUCCACGAAGUAUGCGUAUCACCGUGCGGCUGUGUGCGCGUGCUUACGUGUGUUGAGGGGGUGUCAAUGUUUUUUUUAUUUUGCUUCUUCCCAUCCUCUUGGAACGCUCGCCAUAUUCCCGACCUUCGUCAACCGACUACUUUCGUCCUUUGCGACUAGCUUUUCUCUUGCCCUCUCCUCUCCUGUUGCUUUCCUCUCAUCCCCCACUGUAACACGAUCUUUCUCCCUCGUCUCCCCUGCACCUCAG